Molecule: ribosomal RNA, 484 nt
Filed under: uncultured bacterium
Lineage: Bacteria
Description: partial 16S ribosomal RNA
Rfam family: Bacterial small subunit ribosomal RNA
Source: RNAcentral
AUUGAACGCUGGCGGCAGGCCUAACACAUGCAAGUCGAGCGGAGGAAGGGAGCUGGCUCCUGGAUUCAGCGGCGGACGGGUGAGUAAUGCGUAGGAAUCUGCCUGGUAGUGGGGGAUAAAGUCGGGAAACGGGCGCUAAUACCGCAUACGUCCUGAGGGAGAAAGGGGGGGAUCUUCGGACCUCACGCUAUCAGAUGAGCCUAGGUCGGAUUAGCUAGUUGGUGGGGUAAAGGCCUACCAAGGCGACGAUCCGUAACUGGUCUGAGAGGAUGAUCAGUCACACUGGAACUGAGACACGGUCCAGACUCCUACGGGAGGAAGCAGUGCGGAAUAUUGGACAAUGGGCGAAAGCCUGAUCCAGCCAUGCCGCGUGUGUGAAGAAGGUCUUCGGAUUCUAAAGCACUUUAAGUUGGGAGGAAGGGCAGUAAGUUAAUACCUUGCUGUUUUGACGUUACCAACAGAAUAAGCACCGGCUAACUUCGUG